GUAGGGCGCAAGCGUUAUCCGGAAUUAUUGGGCGUAAAGAGCUCGUAGGCGGUUUGUCGCGUCUGCCGUGAAAGUCCGGGGCUCAACUCCGGAUCUGCGGUGGGUACGGGCAGACUAGGGUGAUGUAGGGGAGACUGGAAUUCCUGGUGUAGCGGUGAAAUGCGCAGAUAUCAGGAGGAGCACCGAUGGCGAAGGCAGGUCUCUGGGCGUUAACUGACGCUGAGGAGCGAAAGCAUGGGGGGGAGCGAACAGGAUUAGAUACCCUGGUAGUCCAUGCCCGUAAACGUUGGGCACUAGGUGUGGGGGACAUUCCCACGUUUUCCGCGCCGUAGCUAACGCAUUAAGUGCCCCCGCCUGGGAGUACGGCCGCAAGGCUA
RNAcentral lists this ribosomal RNA (377 nucleotides) under uncultured organism. RNAcentral describes it as "partial 16S ribosomal RNA". It matches the Rfam family "Bacterial small subunit ribosomal RNA", at positions 527 to 896 of the family's 1533-position model. The record is from RNAcentral.